UAGGGCGCGAGCGUUGUCCGGAUUUAUUGGGCGUAAAGAGCUCGUAGGUGGUUUGUCGCGUUGUCCGUGAAAACUCACAGCUUAACUGUGGGCGUGCGGGCGAUACGGGCAGACUGGAGUACUGCAGGGGAGACUGGAAUUCCUGGUGUAGCGGUGAAAUGCGCAGAUAUCAGGAGGAACACCGGUGGCGAAGGCGGGUCUCUGGGCAGUAACUGACGCUGAGGAGCGAAAGCAUGGGGAGCGAACAGG
Molecule: ribosomal RNA, 249 nt
Filed under: uncultured bacterium
Lineage: Bacteria
Description: partial 16S ribosomal RNA
Rfam family: Bacterial small subunit ribosomal RNA
Source: RNAcentral